This 1682-nucleotide ribosomal RNA is filed under the name Bursaphelenchus mucronatus. RNAcentral describes it as "SSU rRNA". It matches the Rfam family "Eukaryotic small subunit ribosomal RNA". Lineage: Eukaryota; Metazoa; Nematoda; Chromadorea; Rhabditida; Aphelenchoididae. The record is from RNAcentral.
UUACAACAGAUAUAAUUUACUAGUUCUUGUUUCUAUAUGGAUAACUGCGGUAAUUCUGGAGCCAAUACAUGCAUCAAGCCCUGGCCGUCCGGUUAGGGUGCAAUUAUUGGAGCAAAACCAGUCUCGUACUGUUUGCUAACUCAGGAUAAUUCUGCAUAUCGCAUGGUCUUGUACCGGCGAAGUUUCUUUCAAGUAUCUGCUUUAUCAACUAUCGUUGGUAGUUUAUUGGUCUACCAUGGUGUUGACGGGUAACGGAGAAUCAGGGUUUGACUCCGGAGAGGGAGCCUUAGAAACGGCUACCAUGUCUAAGGAUAGCAGCAGGCGCGAAAAUUACCCAAUAUCAAAACGAUGAGGUAGUGACGAGAAAUAACAAGAUCGUUCUCUUUGAGAUCGAUUAUUGGAAUGAGUACAAUCCAGAAAUUUUAACGAGUACCUACGAGAGGGCAAGUCUGGUGCCAGCAGCCGCGGUAAUUCCAGCUCUCGUAAUGUAUAGAAUUAUUGUUGCGAUUAAAAAGUUCGUAGUUGGAUUGCAACGCAGGUAUGGGUCCACCCUCUGGGUGCGUACUCAAUGCUUGCAUUUUGCAUGUUUUUGUGGCGUCGCUUCGGUGGCGUUCAUGAUGCAUGCAGGAUUACUUUGAACGGCUCAAGUGCUUAAAGCAAGUCUUAUGACUGAAUACCGGUGCAUGGAAUAAUGGAACAAGGUUGUGGCUGAGUUUUAUUGGUUUUGUCGGCUAAAACAAUGGUUAACAGGAACAGCCGGGGGCAUUCGUAUCGCUGCGCGAGAGGUGAAAUUCGUGGACCGUAGCGAGACGUCCUACAGCGAAGGCAUUUGCCAAGAGUGUUUUCAUUAAUCAAGAACGAAAGUCAGAGGUUCGAAGGCGAUUAGAUACCGCUCUAGUUCUGACCGUAAACGAUGCCAACUGUCGAUCCGCUUGUGGAUUUUAUUCAUGAGCGGGGAGAUUUCCGGAAACGAAAGUUUUUCGGUUUCGGGGGAAGUAUGGUUGCAAAGCUGAAACUUAAAGGAAUUGACGGAAGGGCACCCCCAGGAGUGGAGCUUGCGGCUUAAUUUGACUCAACACGGGAAAUCUCACCCGGCCAGUACAUCGUAAGGAUUGACAGACUGACAGCUCUUUCAUGAUUCGGUGAAUGGUGGUGCAUGGCCGUUCUUAGUUCGUGGAUUGAUUUGUCUGGUUUAUUCCGAUAACGAACGAGACUUUAACUAUUAAAUAGUGCGCAUGUUGCUUCGGCUGCGUGUGAUCACUUCUUAAAGGAAUUUGUGGUUUUCAACCUCAAGAAAUUGAGCAAUAACAGGUCUGUGAUGCCCUUAGAUGUUCGGGGCCGCACGCGUGCUACAAUGGUGGUAACAGCGUGAUUGUCCUUUUCCGACAGGAAUUGGCAAACAGUUGAGAUAUUAUUAUGGCUGGAAUUGAGUGUUGAAAUUUUCUCUCAUGAACGAGGAAUUCCAAGUAAAUGUGAGUCAUUAACUUGCAUUGAUUACGUCCCUGCCCUUUGUACACACCGCCCGUCGCUGCCCGGGACUGAGUUACUUCGAGAAAACUAGGGAUCGCUGGAGUUCGAUGUUUCGGCAUUGUCUUUGGUGAGAACUAGUUUAAUCGCAGUGGCUUGAACCGGGCAAAAGUCGUAACAAGGUAGCCGUAGGUGAACCUUCGGCUGGAUCAUUA